UUUGCCUACGGGGGGCAGCAGUGGGGAAUAUUGCACAAUGGGCGAAAGCCUGAUGCAGCAACGCCGCGUGAAGGAAGACGGUUUUCGGAUUGUAAACUUCUGUUCUUAGCGAAGAAUAAUGACGGUAACUAAGGAGCAAGCCACGGCUAACUACGUGCCAGCAGCCGCGGUAAUACGUAGGCGGCAAGCGUUGUCCGGAAUUACUGAGUGUAAAGGGAGCGUAGGCGGGAAGCCAAGUCAGCUGUGAAACCUACGGGCUUAAC
Molecule: ribosomal RNA, 263 nt
Filed under: uncultured bacterium
Lineage: Bacteria
Description: partial 16S ribosomal RNA
Rfam family: Bacterial small subunit ribosomal RNA
Source: RNAcentral